GAGAAAAGGAUUCUAGAAAGAUUCAUAGAAUUAGAAGAACUUUCUCUCUUGGACGAGAUGAUAAAAGGGAAACUAAAGACACAUGUACAAAAACCUCCUACAGGAAUACACAAGGAAAUAAUACAAUGGGUCAAAAUAAAUAAUGAGGAUCAUCUCCAUACCAUUUUGCAUUUCUCGACAAAUAUAAUCUGUUUGGCUAUUCUAAGUGGUUCUUUUUUUCUGGGUAAAGAGGAACUUGUCAUUUUGAAUUCUUGGGUUCAGGAAUUCUUCUAUAAUUUAAAUGACUCAAUAAAAGCUUUUUUUAUUCUUUUAGUUACUGAUUUUUUUGUUGGAUUUCACUCCACCCGUGGUUGGGAACUAGUAAUUCGUUGGGUCUACAACAAUUUUGGAUGGGCUCCUAACGAGCUUAUUUUCACUAUUUUUGUUUGUAGUUUUCCAGUAAUUCUAGAUACAUGUUUGAAAUUUUGGGUCUUUUUUUGUUUAAAUCGUCUAUCUCCUUCGCUUGUAGUCAUUUAUCAUUCAAUUAGUGAAGCAUAA
RNAcentral lists this ribosomal RNA (537 nucleotides) under Triticum aestivum (bread wheat). Its description in RNAcentral is "partial small subunit ribosomal RNA". Lineage: Eukaryota; Viridiplantae; Streptophyta; Magnoliopsida; Poales; Poaceae. The record is from RNAcentral.